UCGCGAAAACUUUACAACGCCGGCAACGGCGAUAAGGGGACCUCGAGCGCCAGGUUACAAAUCUGGCUGUCGUGAUGCCUAAAAAGCAUUGCAUAGCAAGGGCCGGGCAAGACCGGUGCCAGCCGCCGCGGUAACACCGGCGGCUCGAGUGGUAACCGUUAUUAUUGGGUCUAAAGGGUCUGUAGCCGGCCGGAUAAGUCUCUUGAGAAAUCCAGCAGCUCAACUGUUGGGCUUUUCAGGAGAUACUGUCUGGCUCGAGGCCGGGAGAGGUGAGAGGUACUUCAGGGGUAGGGUGAAAUCUUGUAAUCCUUGAAGGACCACCAGUGGCGAAGGCGUCUCACCAGAACGGACCUGACGGCAAGGGACGAAUGCUAGGGGCACGAACCGGAUUAGAAACCC
Molecule: ribosomal RNA, 399 nt
Filed under: uncultured bacterium
Lineage: Bacteria
Description: bacterial SSU rRNA
Rfam family: Archaeal small subunit ribosomal RNA
Source: RNAcentral